UCCUCCUGGGUCGGGUCGCCGAGGCCCCAGACCGGCUGCGUCUGGAACUGCUUGUCGAGCGCGAGGCCCGUGUUCGCCUCGCGGUCGAGGUG
Molecule: transfer RNA, 92 nt
Filed under: Microbacterium sp. Bi98
Lineage: Bacteria; Bacillati; Actinomycetota; Actinomycetes; Micrococcales; Microbacteriaceae
Description: tRNA-Ser
Source: RNAcentral